Molecule: long non-coding RNA, 985 nt
Organism: Triticum aestivum (bread wheat)
Lineage: Eukaryota; Viridiplantae; Streptophyta; Magnoliopsida; Poales; Poaceae
Exons: 2
Source: RefSeq, a predicted model, not a curated record
AAAUAGUGGAGACUUAUCCUCCUGCUCCCGUCGAUGGUCGCCGCGGCCAGUGACAUUGACGACUGCCCGGGGGGGUCUGGUUAGAUCAGGCGAUGUGGUCCAUCUCGGCCAUCUUCUCGAUCCGGUCGGCCUCCAGCCUCGCCGCCGCCUGCCCUUGCCGCGCCAACGUGCCAGCCACCGCCACCCGCCAUUGCCGCACCGACGACUGCCCGGGAGAGGCUGAAUAGAUCCGGCUGGGUGGUCCGUCUCGGCCAUCUUCUGGAUCCCAUCGGCCUCCUGCCUCGCCGCCACCCGCCCUUGCCGCGCCAACGUGCCAGCCACCGCCCGCCAUUGCCGUGCCGACGAGCCAGCCGCCGCUGUCCGCCAUUGUCGCACCGACGAGUCAGCCGCUGCUUGCAGUUGCUGCACUGGACAUUCCCCGUUCCUCCCCACAUCAAUGUCAGCCAGGAGCCCAGGAGCUAGCGAUGGAUAGACGUUGGAUUCAUGGUACAUUGUUUUCUCGUGAAUACAUAGAAGGUGUCAAAGAAUUUAUGCACCUUGUUCGAGAGAAAUUCAGCGAGGAUGAUAAAAUACUCUGCCCAGGUAGAAAAUGCCUUAAUCAUAAGUACCAGCAUCAGGCCGUUGCGAACAUGCACAUAUUGACGUAUGGCAUGGAAAGUACAUAUACUCGCUGGAUAUAUCAUGGAGAAGACUUUGAUUUAGAUGUUAUUGACCAUCCUGUGGAGUGCAUGACACCGAGGAUGGUGACAAUGGCGUUGACCGGUUUGAAGAGAUGUUUGAAGACCUACGCACAGCAGUAGAACAAGCUCAAAGUGAAACUGAAAAUCAAGAUGAUAGCAAUGGUGGAAACCCUUCUGAGAAUGAGUCUUUUUUGAAGAAUGUGAUGAACGAGGCAAAACGGCAGCUUUAUCAUGGUUGUACCAAGUUUCCAAGGUUCUCCUUGUAGGAGAUAUGCCCUAGAGGCAAUAAUAAAUGUUAUUGAUUA